This 253-nucleotide ribosomal RNA is filed under the name uncultured bacterium. RNAcentral describes it as "partial 16S ribosomal RNA". It matches the Rfam family "Bacterial small subunit ribosomal RNA", at positions 524 to 776 of the family's 1533-position model. The record is from RNAcentral.
UACAGAGGUCUCAAGCGUUGUUCGGAUUCAUUGGGCGUAAAGGGUGCGUAGGCGGCGAGGCAAGUCGGAUGUGAAAUCUCAGGGCUCAACCCUGAAACUGCAUUCGAUACUGCUCUGCUCGAGGACUGGAGAGGAGAUUGGAAUUCACGGUGUAGCAGUGAAAUGCGUAGAUAUCGUGAGGAAGACCAGUGGCGAAGGCGGAUCUCUGGACAGUUCCUGACGCUGAGGCACGAAGGCCAGGGGAGCAAACGGG